This 433-nucleotide ribosomal RNA is filed under the name uncultured bacterium. Its description in RNAcentral is "partial 16S ribosomal RNA". It matches the Rfam family "Bacterial small subunit ribosomal RNA", at positions 29 to 507 of the family's 1533-position model. The record is from RNAcentral.
AGCGAACGCUGGCGGCAGGCCUAACACAUGCAAGUCGAACGAACUCUUCGGAGUUAGUGGCGGACGGGUGAGUAACACGUGGGAACGUGCCUUUUGGUUCGGAAUAACUCAGGGAAACUUGUGCUAAUACCGAAUGUGCCCUUCGGGGGAAAGAUUUAUCGCCAUUAGAGCGGCCCGCGUCUGAUUAGCUAGUUGGUGAGGUAACGGCUCACCAAGGCGACGAUCAGUAGCUGGUCUGAGAGGAUGACCAGCCACACUGGGACUGAGACACGGCCCAGACUCCUACGGGAGGCAGCAGUGGGGAAUCUUGCGCAAUGGGCGAAAGCCUGACGGAGCCAUGCCGCGUGAAUGAUGAAGGUCUUAGGAUUGUAAAAUUCUUUCACCGGGGACGAUAAUGACGGUACCCGGAGAAGAAGCCCCGGCUAACUUCGUG